GGUAUCCGCUUCCCGCCGGAGCGCUGUCAGUGGCGUGACGGCGGGAAGCGGUUCUUGAAGGCCAGGAGGGCAGGCGCCAGGGACGGCGCACA
Molecule: small RNA, 92 nt
Filed under: Pseudoxanthomonas suwonensis
Lineage: Bacteria; Pseudomonadati; Pseudomonadota; Gammaproteobacteria; Lysobacterales; Lysobacteraceae
Description: Xanthomonas sRNA sX7
Rfam family: Xanthomonas sRNA sX7
Source: Rfam by way of RNAcentral